CCUGAACGCUGGCGGCGUGGCUAAGACAUGCAAGUCGCACGGUGUAGCAAUACACAGUGGCGAACGGGAGAGUAAUGAAUCGGUAACGUACCCCGGACUCUGGGAUAGCUAUCCGAAAGGGUAGGUAAUACCAGUAUAAUAUAACCUGCAGGCAUCUGCGGGUUCUCAAAGGUCCGCCGGUCUGGGAGCGGCCGAUUUCGUAUCAGCUAGUUGGUGAGGUAACGGCUCACCAAGGCGACGACGCGUAGCCGGACUGAGAGGUUGGCCGGCCUCAUUGGGACUGAGACACUGCCCAGACUCCUACGGGGGGCUGCAGUAACGAAUCUUCCGCAAUGCACGAAAGUGUGACGGAGCGACGCCGCGUGUGGGACGAAGUCCUUCGGU
This 384-nucleotide ribosomal RNA is filed under the name uncultured bacterium. RNAcentral's name for it is "bacterial SSU rRNA". It matches the Rfam family "Bacterial small subunit ribosomal RNA", at positions 30 to 422 of the family's 1533-position model. The record is from RNAcentral.